This is a long non-coding RNA of Homo sapiens (human), 846 nucleotides long. Ensembl annotates it as small nucleolar RNA host gene 17. Its record names the gene SNHG17. NCBI's taxonomy places the organism in Eukaryota, Metazoa, Chordata, Mammalia, Primates, Hominidae. The record is from Ensembl.
GGAGAGCAUGGAUCCUGAGGUCCCAGGGAGUGGUAAGUGAUCUCUGGGAGUCAGAAGCAGCAUCUGUAAUCUUAGGCUGUAAGUCUGCUCAUUGCCCUGUCAGCUGUUCUGUUCCAGGAACAUCCCGAGAGCCAAGUUCCCAGAUGCCAGCCAAGGGCCAUCUGACCUGUUUUGAAUCUCAAUUUCCUGAUACAGAAAACAAAGGAUUGUCAGCUGACCUCUGUCCUGUGUGCCCAGUGGCCCCAGGUGACGUGUCUUCAAGAAGAGGCUGAGCUGCGGUGCUUGUAAGAGUCAUGUGCUGUUCCUGGGGCUUGGAUGAUGUAGGGGAAGCAAGGUGAAAGUGGUAUCCCGUGGUUCCACGUUCUGUCCUGCUGUGGGGCUGUCCCUCACAUGCUUUCAGUGGCUGUUGCAGAGGAAGAGCCUCCGGAAAUCUGCGUGGGUAAAGUCUCAGCCUUAGAUCCAAGGACAGUCCAAGGAAGUCCUAAGACCAUGGAGUUGGUGAUCUGGGAUCUGGGUUUGCUGAUAUUUCUCACCGUGAAUCUCUUGGUGGUGUUUGUGGGCACGAGAGGGGCAGAGAAUGGAGAGUGAGGCUACCACAUGAAGCGUCACCAGAGCUGCUCCCUGCUGCCUGCUCAGAGCACCCCGGAUCCACUGUUCAAUCUGCACAAGAUUCGGGGUCCAGACAUGGGAGACUUCAGCUGCCUCAGAGGACCGUGGACAGGGAAGGCCAGCCUCGCAUCCCUCUGUCCAUGCCUGGAAUGACUUUAAUAACCAAGAGUUUUAUUUUUGAAUUUGUAGCUGUCGUUCACUUUUUACCCACCCAUUCAAUAAACCUUACAGAAUUGC